Molecule: ribosomal RNA, 486 nt
Filed under: Triticum aestivum (bread wheat)
Lineage: Eukaryota; Viridiplantae; Streptophyta; Magnoliopsida; Poales; Poaceae
Description: partial small subunit ribosomal RNA
Source: RNAcentral
AUGACCGAAACCAUUGUCAAAGCACUUGAAAUGACUGGACAGAGAGGUAUCAUCAACAAAGGUUGGCGUGGCCUUGGAACAUUGGCAGAACCAAAAGAUUCCAUAUAUUUACUUGACAACUGCCCUCAUGACUGGCUUUUCCUGCAGUGUAAGGCAGUGGUACACCAUGGUGGUGCUGGAACGACGGCUGCUGGUCUGAAAGCAGCGUGUCCUACAACAAUUGUACCUUUCUUUGGUGACCAACCUUUCUGGGGAGAGCGGGUGCAUGCUAGAGGGGUGAAAGAAAAGGCUGUGGAGCUUCCCAAGGCCAUGGAAUCUGAAGACGGCGUAACGGGCGCAGUUAGGGCAUUCCUCAAACAUUUGCCUUGCAAAACAGAUGAAAAUUCACCCCCGCUGACGCAUGGCUUUCUAGAGUUCCUAGCCCCAAAAUUAUAUAAUUUUGUGGCGAGAGGUGAACUGGAGAAUGAGCUUUUCAUCUCCAACUGA